UGCAAGCGCCAUCUAGUGGACAUAAUUUAAAACCAAUAGAUUCCUUGUCAUCCAUAUCAACAACGACUGGACGGAACGGGAACGGCUGGAUAGCUUUCAGACAGCUCAGCUUCUUCCGCCCGACUAUUAUCCGCUGACCUGCUCAGCGGUUCAGCCAUAGAAGCUGACAAUUAUGAUGGUCCCUAGAUUUUUCACUUUUUUAAUUACCAUGAAAUAUGACGCACACGACAGUCUGACGACACCAUGAGCCUAUGACCAUAUGGCAAAAGGUAUAGCCACAUAUUUGGGAGCAGGACCCUCCCAUCCAGCAACCUCCAAUUGCCUUUUUCUCUGGAAGUGCUUAUUAAACAACCUUAACAAAUAAAACAUCUUUCUAUAGAAUUAUAUGAAUUUUACUAUUUCGUAUUACAAUUAGAAAAAAAAAGUAAUAUAAUUGUCACAUAGUCUUUGUAACUCGAAAAUACCUCUUCCGCAUGGCAAUACAUCGCACUUUCAAUUUC
Molecule: long non-coding RNA, 500 nt
Organism: Daphnia pulex (common water flea)
Lineage: Eukaryota; Metazoa; Arthropoda; Branchiopoda; Diplostraca; Daphniidae
Exons: 2
Source: RefSeq, a predicted model, not a curated record